RNAcentral lists this ribosomal RNA (220 nucleotides) under uncultured bacterium. RNAcentral describes it as "partial 16S ribosomal RNA". It matches the Rfam family "Bacterial small subunit ribosomal RNA", at positions 28 to 240 of the family's 1533-position model. The record is from RNAcentral.
GAUGAACGCUAGCGGCAGGCUUAACACAUGCAAGUCGAGGGGCAGCACGGAUGUAGCAAUACAUUGGUGGCGACCGGCGCACGGGUGCGUAACACGUAUGGAAGUCUGCCCUGUACUAGGAGGAUAGCCCGGAGAAAUCCGGAUUAAUACUCCAUAAAUCGUCGAGGUGGCAUCACCUUGACCUGAAAGCUCCGGCGGUACAGGAUGACCAUGCGCCCGG